CCCAGCCCCGCCGCCGUCCAGGUCCAGCCCCACGCCGCCGUCGUCUUCUUUGCCCAGCGGCCGCCGCCGCACCGCAUGCUCGUGUGCAGGGGCGAGAAGGGGAACCACCGCCCGCCCCCGGAGCGCGAGAGGUGAGACAGCGCCCAGAUCCACGGCGGCAUCUACGCGCCGUCGUCGACCUGAGCCGCUAUGGUCUCACCCUGCUGUGCUCCUUCCCCUCCACGGCUCCUAGCUCGGGCAACAACAAGCCAUCUCAAGGGAGUGGAUUCUCAAGUCACCCCACUUCCAAUCCAUGGACGCCAUCCACAAGGACCAAGAUGACGACGCACACAUCCUCCCUCUCCGAGCUGCAGGCACCCUCCGUGGAUGAGGACGACAACCAGGGCAUCCAUGGUCGACAGCUCGAUGGCUCCUCGGGGAGAACCUACUCGGCGGUCCUGAUGUUGCACUCGGCAGCGGCACCGGCGGUGGCAUCGUCUUGUUUCAGAUUUACUGAAUUGGCCAUGAAGGGUGGCUGAGCCAUCAGGAGCGGCCGCGGUGGCCUGCUGCGGACGCUGCUGCGGCUCCCUGUUCUUCAUCGCCUGCGUCUACCUGCUCCGUACCGACCCCAUAUGUGCAGGAAGAAAAGGGCCAUAAGAUUGUACAGGCAGAACAGGAUGUUGUUCUGUUCAACCACAUUGCCCCUGAUAUGGUUGCAAAGGUUGAAGAAGAGUAUGUCGAUCCGGAACCUGAGCAAGCUAUAUUACCACCCCCAGCCAACAAGAUCCCAGGCCCUGCUGGGAGAUCAAAGGCUGGAAGUGCAUGCAAGAGGGCAUGUUAAUCAGGCAGAUUAUCAUUCAAAGUCUGGAUCUACGAUGCUUGUAGCGCAGAUUGGAUUGCGAGAUGCGACAUUAUGCAGGGGAGUCCUAUUUUUAUUUCAAAAGCUCGGUAUUUUUUUACAAUGGAUGGCACAACUUAGGCACGCUUCGCUUCUUUGCCCAACCUGUUCCCGGUAUAUAUACUAGAAGUUGUUAUGGCUCACUUCCAUUUAUAUCAUGUUGACACGGUGAAUCAGCUGGUUAGAAUUCUGUAUAUUUUUCUUCACCUUGUGAGAGGCACAUCUUUCAACCAAGAAUGUCAUCAGUGACUAUCCAGAGGACAUGAUCAGCAUCUGUGUGUGCCGUGGCUUGGGAGGGACAAAAAAGAGGUCGAUUUGAAAUUAUGGAAGAGCAAGGGAGGCGGGAAGAGUUGUGCACUUUUAUCCUUUUUACUAACGCAUCAUAGCAUCUGAUCUUUACCCGCUUGGCCACGUUGUUGGGACCGGGACCCUCGCGCCAAGGCGUGAUCACGAUGUAGUGGGAGAAGAUCUGUGGGCUUUUUGUAAUUUACCCGAUGGAAAUGUUCCUCGGCACCAUGACGAACAUCAACGGAGGAACAACCUUUUUAUUUUAUUUUCUGUUGCCUCUACUGUAUUGUUGCUGCCACAAAGAUUUAUCUGGACAUGGAGCCAUCAUGAUGUGUUUAAAAAUGAUUACAUUAUCCUUUUCUAACCUAUUGGUGUUAGAGACAUCUUAGCAUUCAAGCAGGUUUAGUUCAUUGUUUAUUAAUUCCUAUUAUGUAAACAAAAUCACUGAUCAUCGCUUGACAGAAUUUUUUUGAUAUGCAA
RNA transcript from Triticum dicoccoides, 1645 nucleotides. RefSeq lists it as uncharacterized. The record is from RefSeq and is a predicted model, not a curated record. NCBI's taxonomy places the organism in Eukaryota, Viridiplantae, Streptophyta, Magnoliopsida, Poales, Poaceae. The transcript is spliced from 12 exons.